AAAUUAAUUGUCCUCUCCACCCACUCUUUUGAAGCUAUUGCUGGUUAUCCUUUCAAUAUCCCAUACUCACACACAUUGAUUCAACAUCCUUCUAUCAAUUGAUAAAAGAGUGAAACAAUAAAAAUGGAGAUUGGUAAAUAUAGCUAAUUCUAAUAAAUGUUUUGAAAAUGAAAAUUAAUAUUCUAUGAAAAGAAACUUUCCUGGCA
This 206-nucleotide unclassified non-coding RNA is filed under the name Hevea brasiliensis (rubber tree). The record is from RNAcentral. Lineage: Eukaryota; Viridiplantae; Streptophyta; Magnoliopsida; Malpighiales; Euphorbiaceae.